GUAGAGGUGAUUAUAGGUGGAAUGUCCGUCCGAAUAUUGCCCCAAAUACUGAAUAUCAAAUAUGUUGAAUUAAUUGAUGUCUAAUAGAUAUUCUCACUAAUUACAUGAAGAGAUAGUAGUAUUUAUAAGGAAUGAAAUGGGGAGCUUUAAACUUUAUCAUAAUUAAAGUUUUCUCAUAGAAGCUUCAAGAAACAACAUGAAUCAUCAAGAUGUAUCAAGAUAUCCAUUGUUCCAACAGACAGAUUAAUAUAUCUACAUCAUAGCAUUAAGUUGAUCGAAAAAAAACAAAAAAAGUCUGUUAUUUGUGCAUGCACAUACAAACAACCCCAACUUUACAGUCCCAAGCGUGAAUUUAUCUCUCUCUGAUUUGUAUUUCCAUAUUAGUGUCUAGGAUGUGCAAGGGCCUUUCUGUACAAAUCCAUGUCCUAUUCCUACAUUCUAAUGUUGCCAUAUUGUGUUGUGAUAUGCCGAGCCAGUGACCCACCUCCCGGCCCACUCCAAACAAACCUUAAUUUUAAGCUUAACUUACCCCUGAACAAAC
This 541-nucleotide small RNA is filed under the name Histoplasma capsulatum var. duboisii H88. Its description in RNAcentral is "Histoplasma capsulatum H88 hypothetical RNA". Lineage: Eukaryota; Fungi; Ascomycota; Eurotiomycetes; Onygenales; Ajellomycetaceae. The record is from RNAcentral.